AGAUGGCGACCGGCGCACGGAUGAGUAACACGUAUCCAACCUGCCGAUAACUCGGGGAUAGCCUUUCGAAAGAAAGAUUAAUACCCGAUGGCAUAAUAGAACCGCAUGGUUUGAUUAUUAAAGAAUUUCGGUUAUCGAUGGGGGAUGCGUUCCAUUAGGCAGUUGGUGGGGUAAUGGCCCACCAAACCUUCGAUGGAUAGGGGUUCUGAGAGGAAGGUCCCCCGCAUUGGAACUGAGACACGGUCCAAACUCCUACGGGAGGCAGCAUG
This 269-nucleotide ribosomal RNA is filed under the name uncultured bacterium. RNAcentral describes it as "partial 16S ribosomal RNA". It matches the Rfam family "Bacterial small subunit ribosomal RNA", at positions 86 to 353 of the family's 1533-position model. The record is from RNAcentral.